GGGAGGGUGAAAGUCAUUUCUAGUACUUUUUGCUCCUGGGUAAUUUUUAAAGUAAGAGGGCACGUGGGAGAUAAUCAACUUGUUUCCCUCCUUAGUUUUGUCCUUAUGCUCAUUGCUAGUCUUUAGGGCUUUUCAAAACAGACUGUUUACUGUUCCUGAUUUUGAAAAUAGGUAUUAAUUUCCCAAAUAGCAAAAUUAUGUUUUAUUAAAGGUUGAAUUUAAUGAAAGCAAGUAGCAAUAUAAAAGAGUAUAAAAAAACAAAAAAAAAACACUGCCAUCGAGUCCAUUUCAACUCAUAGAGACCCUGUCUAGUGCUUCAAACACUUAGGCAAGCACAACUUCAAAAACAAAGCAGGAAUGAAUACGCUGUUUUAAAUAAAUGGUUUUCUAGAAUGUAUGCCAGUUAGUUUUCACCAUGUUUACUACUUAGCUGGUGUGAACAAACAAACACACGAGAUUUUCAGUAACAAAAAAGUAGCAGCUUUUGGUAAGUAAAAUUCCAGAUGCAACUUUGAGUCCCUCUUGAAACUCAGGACCCAAAUUCAUUGUCAUUGAACAACGUUGCAUUUAAAUAACCAAGAAAGGUGUCUGUCUACAGGUCUGUAGAAGAGAAAAUUGACAGUAUACAGUCUCAGGACAAAUUUGUUUUUAUUAGUGUAUGAGGGAAAAUAAAAACAACAAAUAUAUUGCUUUGAGACUCAAACAGUUUAACUCUUAAGGGAGUUUCCGUGAAAAGUAGAAGACCUGGCUAUAUGGUAUUUACCAGAGAAGACUUAUUAUUUUGCAGUUACUUCCUCUUUUCUGAAGAAGGUCAUUAUAAUUCUUUACAGUUACACAAUCUUUGCUGACUGCUGCUGUGGAAUUCAAUGUAAAUUCCUUGCUAACACUAUUUAGGAAAAGCAGUUCGUUUUACUGACUUCAAGGGAUUUUUAAACUUGAUUGCAUUCUCCUGCAUUUUCACCGAUUUGUCAGUAGGUGGCAGUAUUGGUAAGGGAUUUGUUUGCAUCUAAAACCUGGGAGGUUUUGACCGUGAACUUGAGUUCAUAGAUAAGUUCAUAGGUAAUUGCAAGGCAAUUAGGUAAGAACACCGCAGAUCUCUCAUCUGGAUCACCGAUUCUGAAAUAAUAAAUCAUAUUUAAUUGCAGUGUUUUUACAUUUAGUCUUUUAUCCUUAACCCAUUGGAGGGGGAGGGAGAGAAGAUUUUUCUGACUCAAAAUUAGACAUUCUGGCCAUGUCUAUUUUAAGAAGAAGGAUUAUGACAAGAAGCAAGGUAGUGAACCAGAAAAAUUGAAAGGAUGACUAAGGUAAGAGUGUAUAACAUACCUCUGUCUUUAUUUUAAUGUAUACAUGUUCACUUAUUCAUUCAGCAAAUAUUUAUUGGGCAUCUAUAUAUGUGGAGUGGGUAGUGGGAUAUAUGUGGAAGGCACGCUCUGCCCUUGGAAUACAUUCAGUGAACAAAAUAACAAAAGAACCCUGUUCUCAUGGAGCUCCUAAAUGCCUCCCUCAAAGAAGGAAUUCAGGGGUUCAGUCUUAGUCAUAUUGGGUUUUAAGUACCUAUUAGGUAUCCAGGAAACCCUUGUGGCAUAGUGGUUAAGUGCUAUAGCUGUUAACCAAAAGGUCAGCAGUUCAAAUCCACCAGGUGCUCCCUGGAAACUCUACGGGGCAGUUCUACUCUGUCCUAUAGGGUUGCUAUGAGUCGGAAUCGACUUGACGGCAGUGGGUUUGGUUUUGGGUUGAUUAGGUAUCCAAGUGGCAAAGUCAAGUAGCAUUUGUACGAGCAGGAAUUCAGGAGAGAGGUCAGGGCUGGUGUCAUUCAUAGCUAUAUAGACUUUACACUUCUAGGGGAGGGACACAGAAUGAAUUAUAUAAAAUGAAUUCAUAAGUAAAUAACAUUUUAUAGUAUUAAAAGGUGGUAAGUGCAAUAGAGAUGCACACACACAGAAAGAUGACCAGGAUAAAUGGGACCAGGACUUGUAGGAUGAAGGGGUAAGUGUUUUGCAGUUUUAAACAAGGGAUCUCAUUGAACAGGUAACAUUUGAACAAAACUUGAAGGAAAUGAGGAAAUUACCAUGCAGACAUCUGGGAGAAGAGCAUUCCAAAUGGAAAUAACUAGAACAGAAGUCCAAAUGCGGGCGCAUGCCUGGAUACCAGUGUGGCUGGAGUGGAAUGAGUGCCAGCUGAUAUAGCAAAGGAGGUCCGAGAGGUAACGUGAAUGUAGGGGGUGAGAGCAUGGGAGAGGGCCUCGUACUAGGGUAUCUAGAAUUGAUCGUUCAGUUCAGGAUGUCUCUUCCAGUGAAACGGGCACUGUUGGCGAAGGUGGUAGCGGUGGAAUACUAAGAAGUGAUCAGAUUCUGGGCGUAUUUUUGAAGGUAUAACCUACAGGGUUUCUGGUAUGAGAGGAAGAGAAUAAUCAAGGAUAACAAGACUUUUUACUUGAGCAGUUAGAAGGAUGGAGUUUCCAACAAUAAAUAGUGAAGGUGAAGGUGAAGCGGGUAUUCUGGGGGAGGAGUGAUUCAGGAGUUCAAUCUUGAACAUGCUGACUGUAAGGUGCCUGUUAGACAUCCAAGUGGCAAUGUCUAGGAGUUCAGCAGAGAGACCUGGGCUGGAGUCAUUGGGAAGUAUAUGGACUUUAAACUUAAACCAUGAGCCUGAGAUCAUCAAGGCAUUGAGUGUAGAUAUAGAAGAUCAAAGACCGAGGACUGAGUCCUGGAGCUACCCAACAUUGUUGUUAGUUGCAUGGAGUCAAUUCUGACUCACGUGACCCUGUUUGUACCACCCAGGAACUCCUCACCCAUCAUUAGGGGUUAGGAAGACGAGAAGAAACAACAAAGGGAUUGAAAAGAAGUGACUUUUGAGAUAAUUAGGAAAGCGUGGUAUGCAAGCAACCAACUGAAGGAAAGGUGUCAAAAAAGAAGGGAAUGAUUAUAAUAUCAGGUGUUACCUAUAUCUCAAACAAGCUGAAGACUAGGAAUUGACCAUUGAACUUAUCUAUAUGGAGGUCAUUAUUGAACUUGCUGAGCAGUUUAGGUAAAGUGAUAGGAUUGAAAACCAGAUUGCAGUGGGGUUAAGAGAGAAUGGGGAGAAGAAGAAUUGAAGACAGUGAGUAUGGACAUCUCUUACAAGGGGUUCUGUUAUAAAAGGGAGCAAAUGAAUGAGACUAUCUAGCAGCAGAAGUAGGUAGUGAGGCUUGUAUAGAGGAGCUUGAAUGCUGGGCUUGGAAUUUUUGAAGUUAAGCAGUAUUUUGAGAAGAGGUGACAAGGGUUCUGGAGCCCAACUACUUGGGUUAACUGAUGUGACCUUGGGCAAGUUACUUAACCCGUGAUUCAUUUUCUACUUUGUAUAAUGAGAAUAGUAAGACUGUUUACCUCUUAGAGAUUUACUAACACUAUAGAGUUGCUAUGAGUCAGAAUCCGCUUGACAGCAGUGGUUUAUUUUAUUUAGAGAUUUUCUAUAAGUAAGUCAAUCCACGUAAAGGGCUCAGCAGAGAACUUGCCUCAUAGUAAGUAUUGAAUAAACAUGAGUAUUUAAAUUAGGGUAUUAUGAUCAAUAGUAUCAGAGCUAUACCUUAUGAAUUAUCUGAAAACAUUAUUCUACUGUCAUAGCCUCAUCCAUUUACUCAUUUAUCUUGGUUUUUCUGGGCCCUUGGCCUCUUUCAUCCCAUACUAAGUACCAAUAAUUUUCCUCCAUCUCUAUUGGCUUCACAUCUUGGAAUCUGGACCUGACAUCCAGCCUCUCUCUCUUACUUUCUGGUCUCACAUAUUGUAUGGCGUGACUUAGCUCUGAUAGAAAGGGAUUCAUUUGAAACGUUAGAACCCUUUUCCUUCCAUACGACCAUUUCUUAAACUCAAAAUUUCUUUGAAGGGCUUUAUGUAUAAUUUGCACAUGUUACUGCAUUCUGUAGAAGAGACACAGAUUGGUUGCCUGAAAAGUCGCUCUUAUGGUAUUUUCACCUAAGACCAAGCCACGCUAGCUUUGUCACAGGCAAGCUUUUUAUCUUAAGAUUUCAAGUCUUGAUUUCUCAGCCUAAGGAGCUCAGAUAAGCUUCAGAGAAAGCAGCCACACUCUCUGCUGCCUUUACUCCUCUUUUGAGGUUCACCUCAUUGUACCUUGGCAACUCACCUCUGUCUCUUAUUGCAUCUACUUUAACCUUUACAAAAUAACAGCUUUCAUGUAACUUCUGCCUUAAGUCACGUUCUGCUACAGCCAGGGACAAAGCAAAGAAAUUGCUCCUAGAUGGAAGUUCAUAGGAGUGUCACCAAGAGUGGCCUCAUUCUGAACAAUUAAGAUUUUCAUUCUCUCACCUGACAGUAAUCUUGUUACACAUAUAAAAAAGCAUUGAUUUAAAAUCAUUACCUGUGGCUUUAAAAAUGCUUUUUUCAAUUGGGGGCUCUUGGGGCAUCUUUGGUCUGGUUGUGGUUAUCACCGAGGUUGUGUUUGGCAAGGGAGAUUUCUACUAAGAACAUAAAGAAUUAAUUGUUAAGUGUACAUCACCUUUUGUCCAAGAAUCUUGAAUGCAUUCUAGGACAUGCCUCAUUCACUCACCCUCAUGCCUUGUCUUCCUGUUAAGGAGGUAGAGGUGGAUAACUGCUGACUCAUGGCAACCUUAUAUGCAACAGAAUGAAACAUUGCCCAAUCCUGAGUCAUCCUCACUGUUGCUGGCAUGUCCAUUGUUGAGGCUAUUGUGCUAAUCCAUCUCACUGAACAUCUCCCUUACCCUUGCUGGCCCUCUACUUCACCAAAUAUGAUGUCCUCCUCCAUGAUUGAUCCCUCCUGAUGACAUGUACAAAGCAAGUGAGUCAGACAAUGUUCUAUUGUGAUCCAUAAGAUUUUAAUUGGUUAAGUUUUGGAAGGAGAUCACCAGGCAUUUAUUCCUAGUCUGUCUUAGUCUGGUAGCCCUACUGAAAUCUGUCCACCGUGGGUGACCCUGCUAGUAUUUGAAAUACCAGUGGCAUAGCUUCCAGCCUCAUGGCAACAACCAAGCCCCUGCAGUAUGACAAACUGACAGGCAAGUGGUAGAGGGAGGAGAAAUUAACAUUCCUUAUUCUUAUUCCAGCAUCAACAACAACAUUGAUAUAAACAGGUGACAGGAAAUGUAUUCUUAGCAAGUGAACUCUGAUUUGAGGGAGGCAGAUGUGGGUACAGCUAACCAAAGGGAUAAAAUAUAGUGGGAGUAUAGAGGAAGGACACCAUUAAUUGGGUAACUAUUAAUGGAGGCAGUGAAAUUUAAGUUGGAAGAGCAGGUAGGAUACCAAACACAAGGGCCAGUCAAAAAUCAUGUGGCUCAGAAUUAGGCCUGUGGCAAUGAAAAUGAGUAAGAGUGGGUUAGAAUGAGGUUUGGAGUUGGAGGUCAAGAGGACUUGGUGAUUCCAUUGAACAUAGGAGUGAGAGAGGGAGGAGAAGAUGAUGGUGACUUUCACAGACUUAUGGGAUAAGGGGAAGUACUGGUUUGGAAUAAAGGAAUUGAAGGAAGAGAGAGGGAAGUAUUAUGGGUGUAGAAGGGAGAGAAAGUUAAAAUAUGUAGAGCUUAAGAUGUGUGAAGAGGCUGAACAGUAGAAAUGAGACCUCUUUUAGAUAACACUUGUUUGAAAGAUACAUAAUUGGAAAAUAUCUGAGUGAAGGUGAUGGUUAAAUCCAUAGGAACAAAAGGGAUAGUCUACUGAGAGUAGGGCCAAGAGAGGGCUACGGUUGCCUUGGAGAUGUGCCUCCCUCCAUUUAAGGUAUGUAUAAUGGAAGAUAUGCCUUAGAAGUAGCAGUUCAAACCAUAGGGGUACUGUCAGGAGAGUAAAAAUCACAGAUAUCAAGGGAGACAACAGUUUUAACAAGGAGAAAGUGGUCAACAAUGUCAAAUAAUUCAGAGAAGUGAGCCAGAUGAGGGUUGAGUAGAGACCGUUGGACCUGAGGUUUAUAAAUUCAGGGCUAACCUUAUAAAGAGCAAGGUUUUUAGAGCGGUGGGUACAGGACCUUAUUGCAGUAGUCCAAGAUGUAAACCAGAACUGGAAACUUUGAAAGCAGUUGUGAUUGUCGGGGGGAAGGGAGGAUAGGAACAGAAGGAGUGAGGUUUUCUUUGAUAUUUUGCAGAGGGGAAACUCGAUCAUAAUUACAAACAUAGUUUCUGAUAUCUGAAAUUAUCUGUAUUUUAAUUUUGUUAAUUCAAGAGCUUCUUGGUCCUUGUGAUGAAAUAUUGCUCAAGAAAAUAAAGUGAGAAGUUUUUGAUUAAAAUUGUGCUAAAGGUGAAAAAUUCCCCAAGAAUUUUGCUAGAUCUUAUGCAAGAUCAUUUUCACCUUUCCAACUAGGAACGUCACAGUCCUUUUGACACCCGUGCAUAGAAAAUAAUGAGUCAAUAUGGCAUCCACCCAUGCUGCCAUGUCUCAUAUUAAAGCCAACCCUUUUAAUAUUAAUUUAAAUUUUAUUUUUCUGAUUUUUUAAUUGAGAAUCUUCCCCAAUUUUAAAUCAAAUGACCUUAAAAUAAGUUUGAUUGGAAGCUGAUGUUAAAGAAGGGCCUGACAACUCUGAUAUAAUAAAGUUUGUUCCAUGUUAGCAGGUUUUUUGAUGAUAGUUGUUAUAGAUUGAAUUGUGUUCCCAAAAUACAUGUUGGAAAUCCUAACCCCUAUUUCUGUGGAUAUGACCUUAUUUGGAAAUAGAGUUUUCUUUGUUAUGUUAGUGAGGCCAUUCCAAUGUAGGGUAUGUUCUCAGCCUAAUCACUUCUGAGUUAUAAAAAAAAAGUGGGUUAGACACAGAAAUGGGCACACACUGGGUGAGACAGAUGCCACAUGAGAAUUGCCAAUAAUGAAGGAAUGCCCAGGACUACCAACAAGAUAGGAAUCGACAAGGCCACGACCCUGAUUUGGACUUUUAGGCUCCAGAACUGUGAGAAAAUUAAUUUCUGUUCUUUAAAGCCACCAUUUGUGGUAUUUCUGUUAUAGUAGCACUAGCUAAGACAAUACUCUUGGUAGGGAAAUGCUACUCUCUUUCACUGGUUUUCUGCCUUGCCACGUACAGGAAGAGUAUAUUUUACUCUGCCAGCUGUAAUAUGUAUAGCAAAACCUGAGGAAUAUAAUAUAGCAAAACCUGAGAAAUAUAAAAAAUAAAUUGGAAAACAGGAUGGUAUGUAAAAACAAAACUUAGGACAAGAGUUAAGGAAAGCUUUGCUUCCAAACUGUAAUUAUUGAAAGGUAAACAAUACAUUGAAUUAUUCUAUAAAUAACUCUGUUCUUCAAAAUUUUUGUUCAUGUUCUUCCUAAAAUAACUUUUAAAAUCUUUGCAUAAUUUCAAAAUGAAAUCUAAAAAUUUUUUAUUGUAAGUUUAAAUAAUUGCAGAGGACAUUUUAAUACUUUAAAAUAUUUCAAGUGGAAUUUUAAUACCAUAGUGAUUUGACACCCUCUUCCAUCUGCUUCAAAACCCUGGUGACAUAGUGGUUAAGAGCUACUGCUGCUAACCAAAAGGUUGGCAGUUCAAAUCCACCAGGCGUUCCUUGGAAACUACGGGCAGUUCUACUCAUUCACUAUGAGUCGGAACUGACUAGACAGCAAUGGGUUUGGUUUUUGUUUUUUUUUCAUCUGCUUGGGAAUAUAUAUAUAUAUACAUAUAUAUAUAUAAUUUCUUUAUUAAUAGCAAGAAAUUUCACAUUUGUUCCUUAUUUUCCCUUGGAACUCCUAUUUUUUUAUUGUACUUCCCCCUUAUAAAUUUAUCAUAAAGUAGUAUAUUCCAUGCUACAAAUUGGUUAUUCUAUUACAUUUCUUUGCAACAAAAAUACGUAUAUAAAUUAAAGUUAUUGUCAUAAUAUUACUAGUAUGAAAUUGACCAAAAUGACAAAAAUAUAUCACAAAUUUUGGUAGUUACUAAACACAAAAAUUUAAAUUUUAUUGAAAAUGAACUUCUUAAUGAGAAAAACAGGGUUUUUAGCUUUUUUCUCAAUUUAAGUAUCAGUGGAUGGAUAUUACUUAUUCCUAAAAUUAUAUAAGUUCCUAAAAUUACGUAAGUUCAGUUUCAAUCUUAUUUUUUUGUUUUACACACAGGGCAACCUCCUCACAUACAAAAGUAAAUGGGAAUGACAAUCUAGUUAUAGCAGCCAUAUUUAGUUUAUUAAACCUCCCUUAAAGCUCUUUAUAUGUUCCAAGCAAAGAGAUCUAUCAUUAAAAUUAUUUGUGGUGAUGUAUCGGCUAAAAGACCCUUCUUCAUAUUUGCUGAAAACAAAAAAUUUGAAACAAUCAGACUUGAGUAAAGAUCUGUUACCCAGCUACUAUGAUUACUUAUUUUGUCAAUUUCUGAGAAGUAUGCUAUGAAGUGAUUACCAAAAGAACACUCCUUUUAUCUGUUCUGCUUUGAGGUACUUUGUUUAACCUGAUAUACUCAGAAUGGCUAGAGAACAUUAAAAUAUAUAUUCCAGUAUAUUUUGGCCAUUAAAAUAUUUUUUAGGUAUUGAUAAGAUCUUUGACCAUUUGAUAAUCUAUUUUAUGUGAUAUAUGACUCGACGGCAAUGGUUUAUAUAUAUGUAUAUCUAUACAUAUGUAUAUAUAUCAAACCUUGAUGCUUUAGAUUUAGAACAUUCAAUUUACAGGCAUUGUCUACCAUGUAACUUAAUUUGGCAAAGCAGUUCUCAUUGCCAAACUAAUCAGCCAAAUCAUAAUUGCUUUCUGUCAGAAAAAGUCCAGCUUCAUGUUUCCAUGCAAUUAGCAUGUUACUAAGUGACCUCAUGACAACCAUCUCACUACUGAUCUAAUUGUGAAAGAGAAGGGGAGAGAGAGAAAGAGGAGGCAGGAAGCCAUACCAUGAGUUUCUCCUCAGUAUGAAGUUAGGCACCAACUGCAGUGUUACUUACUGAUGGUUAUUUGCUUUCCUUUUAUGAGACUCUCCUUUAGGGGUGAUGUGUUCUUUGACAACAGUAGGUGGAAAAGGUGAGGUCUCUCAGUGAAAACUGUGUCACUUCUGCCACACUAUACUACAAAAUAUGUGAAUUCAGAAUUCGGCCCUAGUAGAGACCACAUACUCUGUUUUAAACUUUAAACUUCAUCUAUGGCUUAUCAUCACAGAGAUGACAUUUUAGGAAAGCAUAUAAGUCUGUUGAAGUUGAGGACCUGGAUAGUGACUCUAAUAAAGUGAUCUCUCCACUUCUGAUCCUUAAAAAGUCUUCAUGUAUCUCAGCAGCAUGCUUACCACAGUUUGAAAAGCAUUGCCACGGGCACGUAGGAAAAUGAUAGGAAGAGCUUUUUGUUGUUGUUAGGUUCUGUCAAGUUGCUUCUGACCCAUAGCGACCCUAUGUACAACAGAACGAAACACUGCCUGGUCCUGUGCCAUCCUCACAAUCGUUGUUAUGCUUGAGUCCCUUGUUGCAGCCACUGUGUCAAUCCAUCUUGUUGAGGGUUUUCCUCUUUUUCACUGACCCUCUACUAAGCACAAUGGACUUCUCCAGGGACUGAUCCCUCCUGAUAACAUGCCCAAAGUAUGUGAGAUGUAGUGUCACCACCCUUGCUUCUAAGGAGCAUUCUGGUUAUACUUCUUCCAAGACAGAUAUUUUCAUUCUUCUGGCAAUCCAUGGUAUAUUCAGAAUUCUUCGCCAACACCACAAUUCUAAGGUGUCAGUUCUUCUUUGGUCUUCCUUAUUAAUUGUCUAGCUUUCUCAUGCAUGUGAGAUGAUUGAAAAUGCCAUGGCUUAGAUCAGACAGGCCUUAGUCUUUAAGGUGACUGCUUUUUAAAGUUUUGCAGCAGAUUUGCCCAAUGCAAUGCGUCAUUUGAUUUUUUGACUGCUGCUUCCAUGAGUGUUCAUUGUGGGUCCAAGUAAAAUGAAAUUCUUGGUAACUUCAUUCUUUUCUUUGUUUAUUAUGAUGUUGCUUAUUGGUCCAGUUGUGAGGAUUUUUGUUUUCUUUAUGUUGAGGUGUAAUCUAUACUGAAGGCUGUGAUCUUUGAUCUUCAUCAGUACAUGCUUCAAGUCCUCUUGUGUCAUCUGCAUAUCACAGGUUGUUAAUGAGUCUUCCUCCAAUCCUGAUGCUGCAUUCUUCUUCAUAUAGCCCAGCUUCUCAGAUUAUUUGCUGAGCAUACAGAUUAAGUAUGGUGAAAGGAUAUAACACUGACAUAGACUUUUUCUGAAUUUAAACCUUGCAGUAUCCCCUUGUUCUGUUUGAACGACUGCCUCUUGGCCUAUGUACAAGUUCCUCAUGAGCACAAUUAAAGUGUUCUGGUAUUCCCAUUCUUUGCAAUGUUUUCCAUAAUUUGUUAUGAUCCACACAGUGGAGCUCCUUUGCAUAAUCAAAAAAGCACAGAUAACCAUCUUUCAGGUAUUCUCUGCUUUCAACCAAGAUCCAUCUGACAUAGUAAUGAUAUCCCUAGUUGUACAUUGUCUUCUGAGUCCAGCUUGAAUACCCAGUGGUUCCCUUUCGAUGUACUGCUGCAGCUGCUUUUGAAUGAUCUUCAGCAAAAUUUUACUUGCAUGUGAUAUUAAUGAUAUUGUUUGAUAAUUUCUGCAUUCGGUUGGUUCAUUUUUCUUGGAAAUAGGCAUAAGUACCAUUGGUUCUUGAUCAUAUGCUACCUUCUGAAAUGGUUGAACAUUGACCAGUUCUUUCUGGUACAGCAACUUUGUGUAUUCCUGUGUCGUUCAAUAUUUUCCUCAUAGAAUCCUUCAGUAUUACAACUCGAGGCUUGAAUUUUUUCUUCAGUUCUUUCAGCUUGAGAAAUGGUGAGCAUGUUCUUCCCUUUUGGUUUUCUAACUCCAAGUUUUUGCAUGUUUCAUUAUAAUACUUGGUCUUCUUGAGCCACCCUUUGCAAUCUUCCAUUCAGCUCUUCCACUUCAUUUCUUUCAUUUGCUUUAGCUAUUCUAUAUUCAACAGCAAGUUUCAGAGUCUCUUCUGACAUCCUUUUUUUUUUUCCUUUUCUCCCUUUUUAAUAGCCUUUUACUUUCUUCAUGUACAAUGUCCUUGAUGUCAUCCCACAACUUGUCUGGUCUUUAUUCGGUAGUGGUCAAUGCAUUAAAUCUAUCCUUGAGGUGGUCUCUAAACUCAGGUGGGAUAUACUCAUGGUCAUACUUUGGCUCUUGUGGACUUGUUUUAAUUUUCUUCAGGUUCAACUUGAACACUGCCUUUGAGUGAUAGUCUGUUCUGAAGGCAGUUCCUGGCCUUGUUUUGACAGAUAUUGAGGUUCUCCAUUAUCUCUUUCCACAGAUGUAGUCAAUUUGAUUCCUGUGUAUUUCAUACUGUGAGGUCCACGUGUAUAGUCCUGUAUGUUGUUGAAAAAAGGUAUUUGCAAUGACUAAGUCAUUUAUCUUGCAGAAUUCUACCAUGGGAUCUCCAGUGUCGUUUCUAUCACCAAGGCCAUAUUUUUCAACUAAUCUUUCUUUUUUGUUUCCAACUUUUUCAUUCCAUUCACCAGUUAUUAUCAAUGCAUCUUGAUUGCAUGUUUGAUCAAUUUCAGACUAUAGAAGUUGGUAAAAAUUUUCAAUUUCCUCAUCUUUGCCUUUAGUGUUUGGUGCAUAAAUUUGAGUAAUAGUUGUUUUAACUGGUCUUCCUUGUAGGCAUAUGCAUAUUAUCCUAUCACUAACAGCAUUGUAUUUCAGUAUAGAUCUUGAAAUUUUUUUUUGACUAUGAAUGUGACACUGUUCCUCUUCAAUUUUUCAUUCCUGGCCUUGUAGACCAUGUGAUUGUCCAAUUCAAAAUGACUAAUACCAGUCCAUUUCAGCUCAUUAAUGCCUCAAAUAUCCAUCUUUAAGCAUUCUGUUUCAUUUUUAACAACUUCUGAUUUUCUUUGAUUCAUACUUCAUACAUUCCAUGAUCUGAUUUUUAAUGGAUGAUUGCAACUCUUUCUUCUCAUUUUGAGUCAUGCCACAUCAGUAAAUGAAGAUCCAGAAAGAUUUACUCUAUCUACAUCAGUAAGGUCUACUCUAUUUUGAGGAGUAAAAAAAAAAAAAAAUUUGAGAAGUAGCAGCCAAGAAAUCAAACAAUGUAUUUUCUUGCGCAAAAUGCUUCAAAACAACUAUUUAAAGUAUUAAUAAGCAAAGGUGUCACAUUGAGGACUAAGGUGCACCUGACCCAAGCCAUGGUAUUUUCAGUCACCUCAUAUGCAUGUGAAAACUGGACAAUGAAUAAGGAAGACUGAAGAAUUGAUGCUUUUGAAUUAUGAUGUUGGCAAAGACUAUUGAAUAUACCAUAGACAGCCAGAAGAACAAACAAACCUGUCUUGGAAGAAGUACAGCCAGGAUACUCCUUAGAAGCGAAGAUGGCGAGACUUCAUCUUAUGUAAUUUGGACAUGUUAUCAGGAGAGGUCAGUGUUUGGAGAAGAACAUCAUGUUUGGUAGAGUAGAGGGUUGGUGAGGAAGAGGAAGACCCUCAAUGAAAUGGAUUGACACAGUGGCUGCAACAAUGGAUUCAAACAUAGCAACAGUUGUGAGGAUGGUGCAGGAGCAGUGUUUUGUUCUGUUGCACAUAGGGUCACUAUGAGUUAGAAAGGACUGGAUGUCACCUAACAACAGCAAUUGUGCCAUAAACUUAGUGUGUGUGUGUAUGUUUUAAUUACCAUGAUGCCAGGAGAUAACAUUAAUACUAGCGACAUUCUGGAUGAGAAAGCAAUCUUUGCGCGUUCAAAGGCUUUGAUGAGGCCAGUAAUAGAGGGACCAUAACUAAUAUUGGUUUUCACAUGAUGAGAAAUAGGAAACAACAAAAUUGAAGAAAGAAAAUUUAAAAAAUGGGGCCAAUUGAAGUUGAAGUUGGGAUUAUUUAAUGUAAACCAGAAUGUGGAUGUACCAAUUAUGAACUGCCUUCAAAUACAUAAAAAUUCAUUGAAUUUUCUACAGUUCUUAAAAUGACAGUUUAAGGAGGAAGUAUUCACGUCUAAUGAUUUUGUUUAUUUUUAAAUAUUUUUUUCUGGUUAUAAAUAUGUACUCAUUAUAGAAAAUUUAAAAAGUCAAAAGCAAGAAAAAUGUCACACCUAGAAAGAACCACAGUUAAUAUUUUAUUUCCUUUUGUUUUCUGUACAAAUAUAUAUAUCAGGCCACUGAGAUCACACUUUUGUAUCAUGUUUUUCCCCCAUUGAAUAUACUGUGUUUCUAAUAUUAUUACAAACUAUUUUGAGUGAUACCAAGUUUUUCAUUGAAUGGAUGUCAAAAAAAAAAAAGUUUAUAUAAUUACUCCCCUCAUGUUGGAUAUUCAGUUUGUUUCUAAUUUUUUACUCAUAAAUAUUGCUGUGAAUGAGGGAUUUGGAUGUAUAAUAAUAACUUACAUUUAUUGAGCACUUGUUAUGGUGCAGGUACUGAGCUCCUUGCUUUACAAGGAUUUUUUUCUUUUUUUUUCAGAACCUGACACUAACCCAGUUAAGAGGAGAAAAUGUGGCACAGAGAGAUAAUGUCACUUGCCCGAGGUCACACAGCUAGUAAAUUCAGAGCAGCAACUAAAUGCUGGCGGUCAGCCAGAGUCCCCAUCUCUACCGCUUGUCCAUAGCAAUAAGUCCUCUUCCCUUAGGAUAGAUGUGAAAUUAUUGCCUCAAGGAGUAUAAAAAUAUUUAAAGCUCUUGUUGCAUCUAUUGCCAAAUUGCUUUUUCAAAAAGUUGUACUAAUUUAUUCUUCCACCAAUGGCAGGUGAGUGUAAUCUCAAUGCAUCCUUACCAUUGUUUUCUUUAAUGUUUCAUUGAUUUCAUGGGUAAAAAAAUGAUAUUUUGCUGUUUUAAUUUGCUUUUCAUGGAUAGUUAAUGAGGCUAAUCAUGUUUCUUAUUGAAUUAAUAAACCUAUAAAAGUUAUCUCUUUACCUUCUUUGUCCCUCAUUUCUCUAUUGCAGUAUUAGUUUAUGUAUAUAAAUGUAAUACUUAGAUUUAUUAUAUUCACUUAUUAAAGGAGUGUGUGUGUGUAGAAUACUGACUGACCCCUAGAAAGCAAUAUCUGUCAAUCAUCAUCAGUAUCAUCAUUAUUACCAGUGCGAAACCUUUCCUCUAGUUUGCUUUUAAAUAUUUAAAAUAUUUUUGCCUUUAAAUAUUAAAUUUCAUCUUUUUUAUCUUGGUGUUCCAGAGUUCUUGUGAAUGGAGAAGUCGUUAUUCAGUAAAGAAAGUUUCCUUAGAAAUUAUGAACUAUCCAUCCCUGGAAAAAUAGUGUUAAGAAUAAUUCAUCCUCACCCAUUCCUAUAACUUGUUGAUUUAAGUAUAGGAAUUGCUAGAGAAAAGGAAUUUCAUCCAUUUCCUUUCAACUUGAGACUUCCUAACUAUCUGUCUUUUUUCUAGGAUGUUAGACAAUAUUUAGAAAUUGUCUAUGCUAUAUCAAAAUACCUACAAAUAAUUCUGUGGAGGAAGGAGUGCGAUUAAAUUUUAAUAACUGGUGUUCCAUGGCACCAACCAAACCAAAUGGGCAUGAUAUUUCACUGUAGGCCUGGUAGUGUACUGGACCAGUGUAUACUAACUGAAAAUCAUCCAGAGUGGGGUUGAAGAGGCAUUAGGAUAGAUGGAAACAGGUAUAUGUAUUUGAGAUCUAAAAUGUUUUUCAAACUUAUAUGCUGAAAUAUAUUUAUGUACAAAUGUAAUUUCUAUAGAAUUAUGAGAGUCAGGUAAUUUUUAUUGAGACAAUAAUAAAAAAUAAGGAUAAUGAACUUCGCAGAUGGAUCAAUGUAAUGAUUAAGGUUCCAGAGAUACAAAUUUAUUGGUAAAAAUUAGUAAAACAAUAAAUUUAAAAACUUUCCAUCCUGGCGUAACAUAAAAUCAUCCUGGAAUGACAACCAUUUGAGAUCUGAGCUCAGACUAUAAAAACUUGCAAAUCUUUGAAUGGGUAGGAAGAUAGUGAAUGACCUUCAAGGAUGUUAAGUACAGUCAUAUAUUUGGGAGUGACACUUAUUCAAAUUUAAAACAUAAAAUGUAUGACCCUGAGUCUAAACUUAGGAUAGAAACUUAGUAAACACUAUAUAGGUCAUACCAAGAAGACAAGGGCCAACAACCAGCCAUGGGGAAAAAGCAUGCUAACCAUCUAGUCUUAUCAAAAGAGAUACUAAAAACCAACAGAUUAUAUACAGAUUAUACUCUAUAGAUUUAUUGUAAACCAAUCCAUAUGUUGUGUAAAUUGUGGCUAGGUGAACAUGAAGGCAACAUUAAACUAAGUCUUAAAGUAGAUAAUGCAUCCAGGAGUGAGAUUGCCAACACUUUGAGGACAGAAUCUAUCUUCUCUUAUCUUGGUGUCUUUAGUGUUUAAUACAGUAAUUGGCACGUAGUAGGUACUCAGUGAACGUUUGCACCUAAUAAAUACCUCGAGCUUAUCCACAGGACCCUGGAUCAGGUGGCUGGAGGAUUUGUCCCAGAGUGACCAUUUUUCUGUUCAUUUAUUAUUCUUCUACCUAGGUACAAGCAAUGUACUCAAAUAUCUACUCUAUGUUCAAAUAGCUACCCUAUGUUCAAGAGCAAGUUUCAGAAUCUCUUUUAAACUUACUGCAGGGAAAUAUAAUUGGUUUGAGAUCUGUGGGUCUGAAUGUGUAUUCUGACCAAUUUCCAAACCCAGUCCUUAAAGGCUGUGUCUGAUUUUUUUCCCAACAGGCAAACUUAUAGAAAGGGGCAUUUCACCCCAGGAAAAAUCAUAAGUAACUCCAGAGGAAGGGAGUGGAAGGAAUGACCAACUGUCUAACGUGGCCAAGGGUAAGGAAUAGGAAGUAAAGAGAGGAGACAGGUAGGCAGGACACACUAUAGAAUCUCUACCAAAGCUUCAAUUCACCUUUCCUGAUGCACAUGUGUGGUACUCGGGCAGCCAUAUUGUGUGAGUGGACUCACCAUGUCUAAUUGGACCACAGUGGAUACUUGAGAUGGACAGUUUUUUUCCCCCCCAUGGAAUUUAGAAAUUAGACUUUGCUUCAUUUUGUUAGUCUCCACACAUGGUUGGGAUUGCACUUGGGAGACUCAGGGUGUUCUUAUUUCACCAUGGGGACUGAAGGAGAGAAAGUGAAGGUUUUUCAAAACCAGGGUAAAGAAUUUGUAAUUGGUAGGAAAUGGGGAGGCACUGAAAUCUUUUAGUAUUGGAGUGACAUGUAAUCAAUCAUAUCUAGUUUGCCGAAGACAUCUCAUGCUUCUUAGUUCUGAAAAUUGCUAAAUUCAUCUUAUGCCAGCCAUUCCAAGUGUCUGCUCUAAUGUGCUUUGCUGAGAUGAAAUCAAAGUACUUCCUUUCAAUAGCAUUAGAUACACUUUUCUCAGCCUAAGUUUGUGAAGCAUCAAAAGGGAAGAAUAUCAGCCUGGUGACUCUCCCAUUCUCCUCCCUUCCUCAGGAGGCUCAGUCAGAGAGACUUUCCUUUCAUUUCUUGACCUUGACUUCCACUUACCUCAUCGGCUUUUUGCAAAUUAGUUUAUCUAUUUUUUUUUUUUCCUAACUACAUUCAUCUUACAAAUGUUGGCAACCAAACCCAUUGGGAAGCUCGGAAACACUGGGCUCUUAGUCUUGAUAAUAUGUGAGGAGGUUGUGUCUUCAGGAUUUUAUUUAUUGACAACAGCUGUCUUGUCACUUUUAAGUGGUUCUUUUUCUCACUCCAAUAGUAGACACUUACUGCCCUCUGGAGUAGUUUGUAACCAAACAGUUUCUUCCACCCCUUUCAUUUAAGGAGGGUUAAUGUGCCUGUGUUUUUCACAGAGAGGGUAGCUGCAGCCUGAGAGCAUGGCCAGUAUUCUUAUUUAUCCUCCUCCCUGCGGGAUGAAAGUGAGCCAGGACUCCAGCAGAUGAGUGCCUCUUGGUGCACUGUGGUUCUCUCUCCCAUUGGUGCCUGCCUACAUCUUCCCUUGAUUGCUCCUCAGUCUGCUCCUUGCUCACACACUUCAACUGGAACACAAUUCCCCUUCCUUGCCUGAGUCGUAGGCAAGUAAGUAUGUUCUUUGUUUGGUAUGACAUGGUAUUGGCCCUGAUAUUCCCCUUGCUGUCUCUCUGCUGGCCUCUCUCCUGUCUCCCUUAACUUGCAGGAUGCUAUUCACAAUUCCUUGAAAGCCAUUGGAAUGAUAAAUACAUAAGAAGAAUAAAAAGACUGUAGCAAUUAAUAACAUUAAUAAUAACAACAGCAAACAUUUGGGUACUUACCCUGUGCCAUACACUGACUGUACAGUCAAUUUCUUAUUGAAUUCUGAUGAAGACCCAUGUGUGCCAUAUUUUCUAUCAAUAUCUCAGUUUUCAGCAGUGGUAACUGAGGGUCAUAGACUUUAAGUAAUUCUCCCAGUAAUAAAGCUAGUCAGUGAAACAGUCAGGAAUUGAACCCAUUUGUCAUGCCUAAAUCUAUGCUUCUGUACAAAAUGCUAUUCUACCUCAUUGCUUGGUGACACCAAGAAAAGCAAUUCUGAGAAUCCUCAACCUUAUUCAUUUUCAUCGCAUUCAAUCUUUGGGAACCAAACAUCCCAGUGGUGGUUUUGUUUCUCAUUGUUUUAUUGUUAUUAAAAUCUGGAAUCCAAAGUUCUCACUGAAAGUCUUAGUCAUCUAGCGCUACUAUAACAGAAAUACUACAAGUGGAAAGCUUCAACAAACAGGUUUAUUCUCUCUCAGUCUAGGAGGCUAGAAGUAUGAAUUCAGGGUGCCAGCUCCAGGGCAAGGCUUUCUCUCUCCGUCAGCUCUGGGGGAAGGUCCUUGUCAUCAAUAUUCCCCUGAUCUGGAAGAUUCUCUGUGCAGGAAGCCUGGGUCUAACAGACAAGCUCUGCUCCAGGAAUGGAUAUUUCAAGUCUACUUCAGAGUUACAACAGUCAGCAGCACUGUCUAUGUGCCCAGCACAGCACUUAUGUGUACUCUCAUUGGGCCAUUGCAAUUGAUGGGCAAGAUGGAUGACAAUAUGAUCUUCAUUUUACAGAGAGGAAACCAAGACUCAGAGAAGAAUAACCAACUUGGCUAAAACGGAAUUAGCAUACAGUUCAUGUGACUUCAAACCCUGUUUUUAACCAUUCUAAAAUAACAAGGCACUAUCACCUGCAUCAUUCGCCUACCUCUUCUUUUCACAUAUGCUUCUGCUCUCUCAUCCUGUCUCCAUAUUACUCCCAGAAUGAUAUGCUUUAAGAAGUAAAUCAGGUCACUUCCCUAUUUAAAUCUCCUCAGCAGUUUUCUAUUUCCAUUAGAACCAAAUCCAAAAUCCUUAGAAUGGCUUAGAAUUGCAAUAUUUUACCUGACCAUGUUCCCGGCUUCUCAUCUUCCCACUUCUCUCUAAACUUCUUUAACCUGACAUUACUGGUUUUCUUUCCGUCUCCAUUAUUGCCUGUCUUAGUUAUCUAGUACUGCUAUAACGGAAAUACCACCAGUGGAUGGCUUUGACAAACAGAGCUUUAUUCUCUCACAAUCUAGGAGGCUAGAAGUCUGAAUUCAGGAUGACAGCUCCAGAAGAAGGCUUUCUCUCUCUAUCAGCUCUAUAGGAAGGUCCUUGUCAUCAAUCUUCCCCUGGCCUAGGAGCUACUCAGUGGAGGAACCCGCAGUCCAAAUAUGGCAUGAGGUUGCUCUGUCUCUCUGCUUACUUCUCUCUUUUAUAUCUCAAACAAGAUUGACUCAAGAUACAACAUAAUCUUGCAGAUUGAGUCCUGCCACAUUAACAUAACUGCCUCUAGUCCUGCCUCACUAACAUCAUAGAGAUAGGAUUUACAGCACAUAGGAAAAUCACAUCAGAUGUCAAAAUGGUGGAUAAUCACACAAUACUGGGAAUUAUGGCCUAGCCAAGUUGACACACGUUUUUGGGGGACACAAUUUAAUCCAUAACAGUUCCUAAGUAGAAACUGCGUUUUCUGCUUCAUUAAGAUAAACAAGAGUAUUUAAAUUUAUUAGUUGUUUUUGUUGAUGGUGGUGAGUUUUUUUGUUUUUUUUUUUAAUGUCAGCUCAGGUUAAGUGCCGGUAGACAUUUUCUAGGCUAGUUAGAAAUGGAUUCUACUAGUCAGUAAAGCUGUGAAAGAUUGUGUACGAUGCAAUGUAUAUAAAAAUUAGCCUAUUAUAAAUGGUACACUUCUAGGACAUUACUUUUUCUUAGUCUGUGUGUGCUGUUUCACAGAUUAGUUUGCAUAUAGGGUAUAACAGCUUCUUGAUUGUUCCAAAGCUGUCUUGUGAUUGAUUAUAAUUGGAAUGCAUCAUGUAAUGGCUUCUAGAAAAUACUGGUGUGGUCUGGCUCACUGCAAUGGGCUGUGUUAAAAGCCCCAAUUACCCCCUACGUUUCUUUCUUAAAUCCUGUCACUUUUCUCUCUUAUAUUUUCUAAAAUCUGUACCUUGUGAAUUAUCUUAAGAAAUCUUGGAUACAUUUUCCAAGUAUUGCCGAGAAGGCAAGAGAGUAUUGGGGGAUGGGGCUUACUGUUAUUAUUAUAAACAUGUUGGCAUUGAGGUAUGCUGCCAUGGAUGAGAAGUUUGGCUUUAUGAGAAUGAAGUAUGACAAAAUGGUCUAUUGCAGGUGCCACCUUAGAAUACUGAAAAAAAGGGAGAGGCUUUGAAGAGCCAAAAGGAAGAACAGAUAAAGCUAGUACUGAUUGUUGAGACCCCAAUAUGUGGAAGUCUGCAAAGGAUGAAUCUGGAAGGUGGCUGGAAAAUGGAAACAAUAUUUAUUAAUAAGGUACACAUACAUAUAAGUGGAGAUGAAACAAUAAACCCCAAAUAGCAGUAUAGCGGUGGUUUUAACUAUAUACUUCUAUGUGAAAGAAAGAUUCUAGAGUUCAGUGACUCAGGAAUAAUGAUUAGAGAGAAUAGUUGGGAGAAAUGUGCUAGUGGAGAGAAGAGACCUGGUGGCACAGUGGAUAAGAGCUUGGAUGCUAACCAAAAGUUGGCAGUUUGAAUUUACCAGCUAUUCCUUGGAAACCCUGUAGGAGCAAUUCUACUCUGUCCUGUAGGAUCACUAUGGAUCAGAAUCAACUUGACAGCAAUAAGCUUGUUUUUGUUUGUUUCUGGUUUCAGAUAGACUUAAUGUUGAGUGUUACUGUUUAUCUGCUUCUUAUCCCACCUUCCAUCCCCAAGUGUAAACAGCAUAUAUGUUUUGGGAGAAUACUAUUGAUUUGGUAUAAUCAAUAUGACCAAUCUAACUAAAGUAGGAUAUUGGAGCCCUGGUGGCAGAGUGGUUAAGAGCUCAGGCUGCUAAUCAAAAAAAGGUCAGAAGUUCAAAUCCGCCAGCAAGUCCUUGGAAACCCUAUGGGGCAGUUCUACUCUGUCCUAUUGGGUUGCUAUGAGUCAGAAAGAACCCGAUGGCACACAACAACAACAACAUUCCCGAAAGCAUUAAUAUUGGCACUCUGUGGCAUUUACAGUCACCAGUGAGCUUAUACCAAUUUUACUGUUUUUCUUAGGUUUAUUUAUGGCUGGAAAAAAUGGAAAACUGAUAUCUAAUUAGAUUAAAUUGGAAGAUAGUGAAAGAAGAUAGUGGCAGACAAUCAAGAUGUUCUAUAAAAAGUCUGUUCUACCAUAAGGAACAGGAAACCAAAUCUUAAGGAGGAAAAUGAACAAGAAGCUUUAGAUCAAUAUAUGAGAGAAGAGGGUAAAGAGAAAAGGAUCUUACUUUUAUUACAUGCUUAAGUCCUACUUGCUUUACAUUUUGGUUUAAUCCUCAUGACCAAAUUAUAAGGUAUUUUGCUUCAGUUUGCUUAAGUUAUAUGCCACCAUUUGACUAAUCCAAGGCUGUUCCCAUCUAUUUGUAGUUGUAAAAAGUGUAAAUCUUUAAGUAUGAUUAUGAGGAACUACUAGAAAAUCACAUGUCAAAAGAAUCUCAUUUUCUUUUUCUAUCUCUUUAAAAGUAGGUUUGGUGGAUUAGGAGACUGUCAAAUACAUAGCAUUCAGUUGGGCAUAUAUUUUACCACAUGUCUCUCAUUUUUAAGAAAAAUUGCAGGAUGUGAGUUGAAUUAUAUCAUGCUUAAGCAGUGAAUACUCUAACAGUGUUAACUGGUAGAUCAUUUUUAAAACCAGAGAGGGGUCUCAAGCGACACAGUUCAAUUCAAGAUUUGUUGUUUUUGUUCACAACUUGAAUGAAGAAGAAGACAUGCUUAUCAAAUAAGCAGUGAGAGAACUAGGUCUGAAUGACACAGUCAAAUUAAAAAUGCUUCAGGAGUUUGAGCAAGCUUGGCUUUAGAGUGAGGUGUGCUGGUGUACCUUAGGCAGAGACAGGCAUAUUAAGACAGAUGGAAAACUGGAAGUAGGGGUGAAGCCAGAACAUGGGGAAUGACCCAGAUGUAAAACUAGUUUAAGAAAAGAGAGAACUGCAGUCCAGAUGCCUGUGCAAAAGGACCCUGUCAUCCUGGCCUUGAUUGAGCUGCUAUCAGUGUUGAUGGCAUUCCAAUCUGGUGUGUGAAAUGUGACUAGUAAAAUUUUCAUACAGAGGUGAUACUCAGAAGGAAGUUGAUGACAUGUUAAGUAUUGUACCAGUUUAAACAUGAUCCCAACCAACAGUUAAGGGUAAUGGAAGUAGAACCUAUCUCCUGCAGUGGCUAGCAACUGGAAAAACAAGACAGAAGUUAGGUUAUACAAAUGAUUAAUUUCAGGAAGGCUUAGGGGUCAUUAUGAGUUGGAUUUGACUGGAUGGUACACAACAACAACACAACACGAGGAGAAUUUAAUGCAGUAUCAAAUUUUCAAUGGGUCCUGCUGGGACAAACCCAGUGAGAUAUGAGGUCCCAAGGCUGAGCUGAAUAAUGCAGAGAGCUUACCGAGAGCUGCUUGGGUAGAGUAGCCCAAGACUCUACUUACAGUUGAGGAGGAUGGCAAAAAUAUAAGAUGAAGAGAAGAUAUGAUGUGUCAGAUACAAGGUAUGAAGUGGCAACAUUGAAGGUCAGACGGAUUAUGAGAUUAGAAGUUAAAAGAUCAAGAAGUAUUUUGCAAGAUGGGUGAGAAAUAUAAUUCAGGAUCAAAGCCCUGAACCAUGUGAGGGUGUUAAGAUCCACAGGCAAAUAAAUAAAUAAACAAGUUCCAUUUCAUCCUAUGGAAUGGAAGAUGACUCGCAUUACUGUCCAGCCUGGUCAAAUUGGCCUGUGAACUGAGUGUUUAGCCUUCAAACUGAAGCCUUCAGUGUCUAAAUCAAAUGAAAAAUGAGCUGCAUUAAAACAAGGAAGAUGAACUAAAACAGCAAAAUUAUGAAGUUCUUUAUUAGAAUUAAGAAAAGUUACAAGUGUACAAGCUUGGUAUAGCUUUCUGGGCAAAAGUUCCAGUAAAUUAAAAAAAAAAAAAAAAAAACCCUUAGCCACAUUUUAA
Molecule: long non-coding RNA, 22091 nt
Organism: Loxodonta africana (African savanna elephant)
Lineage: Eukaryota; Metazoa; Chordata; Mammalia; Proboscidea; Elephantidae
Exons: 2
Source: RefSeq, a predicted model, not a curated record